AUACGUAGGUGGCAAGCGUUGUCCGGAUUUACUGGGUGCAAAGGGCGUGUAGGCGGAGAUGCAAGUCAGGAGUGAAAUCUAGGGGCUCAACCCCUAAACUGCUUUUGAAACUGUAUCCCUUGAGUAUCGGAGAGGCAGGCGGAAUUCCUAGUGUAGCGGUGAAAUGCGUAGAUAUUAGGAGGAACACCAGUGGCGAAGGCGGCCUGCUGGACGACAACUGACGCUGAGGCGCGAAAGCGUGGGGAGCAAACAGGAUUAGAUACCCUGGUAGUCCACGCUGUAAACGAUGAAUACUAGGUGUGGGGGGACUGACCCCCUCCGUGCCGCAGUUAACACAAUAAGUAUUCCACCUGGGGAGUACGAUCGCAAGAUUGAAACUCAAAGGAAUUGGCGGGG
This 396-nucleotide ribosomal RNA is filed under the name uncultured bacterium. RNAcentral describes it as "partial 16S ribosomal RNA". It matches the Rfam family "Bacterial small subunit ribosomal RNA", at positions 523 to 918 of the family's 1533-position model. The record is from RNAcentral.